Molecule: ribosomal RNA, 468 nt
Filed under: uncultured bacterium
Lineage: Bacteria
Description: partial 16S ribosomal RNA
Rfam family: Bacterial small subunit ribosomal RNA
Source: RNAcentral
GACGAACGCUGGCGGCGUGCUUAACACAUGCAAGUCGAACGGAAAGGCCCUGCUUUUGUGGGGUGCUCGAGUGGCGAACGGGUGAGUAACACGUGAGUAACCUGCCCUUGACUUUGGGAUAACUUCAGGAAACUGGGGCUAAUACCGGAUAGGAGCUCCUGCUGCAUGGUGGGGGUUGGAAAGUUUCGGCGGUUGGGGAUGGACUCGCGGCUUAUCAGCUUGUUGGUGGGGUAGUGGCUUACCAAGGCUUUGACGGGUAGCCGGCCUGAGAGGGUGACCGGCCACAUUGGGACUGAGAUACGGCCCAGACGCCUACGGGAGGCAGCAGUCGGGAAUAUUGCACAAUGGGCGGAAGCCUGAUGCAGCAACGCCGCGUGCGGGAUGACGGCCUUCGGGUUGUAAACCGCUUUCGCCUGUGACGAAGCGUGAGUGACGGUAAUGGGUAAAGAAGCACCGGCUAACUACGUG